Molecule: ribosomal RNA, 213 nt
Filed under: Helotiales sp.
Lineage: Eukaryota; Fungi; Ascomycota; Leotiomycetes; Helotiales
Description: partial large subunit ribosomal RNA
Source: RNAcentral
AAGCGCUUGCAACCAGACUUGCGCGCGACGGUUCCCCCUUCCUUCUGGUUGGGCUACUCCGUCGCGUUCAGGCCAGCAUCGGUUCGGGUGGCAGGAUAAAGGCCUUGGGAAUGUAGCUUCUUUCGGGGAGUGUUAUAGCCCUCGGUGCAAUGCCGCCUACCUGGACCGAGGACCGCGCUUCGGCUAGGAUGCUGGCGUAAUGGUUGUAAGCGA